GGUUAAUAAUAACUAGAACUUCUAAAUUAGCUGAUGGGAGCUACCGGACGCUUCUUGCAUGGUACUUUAUGUAUUUCAUGGUAGAUCUCUCUGUUCACAGCACCUAAUUUUCUAGUUAAAAAUAAAUUAUGAACAGCAAAGAAAGACAUGAAGCUAGAUAU
Molecule: non-coding RNA, 161 nt
Filed under: unclassified sequences
Description: RT-2 RNA
Rfam family: RT-2 RNA (bases 1-121)
About the family: Coriobacteriales (Actinobacteria), Clostridiales (Firmicutes).
Source: Rfam by way of RNAcentral